CCAGCAUCUUUCUCAGAUACUGCUGCCAAGGGUUAAAAUGUUUACAUGCCCCCUGAUUUUAAAUGGACCGGGUUGCAUGUCAAAUGCCAACGAGAGGGACAGCUGGAGUAUCUAAACCAAGAGCUUUGAUCUUGGUAUCUGUAAAAAAGAGGUCAUUUGGUCUCCCCAGGAAGCACAGACAUUUAGAAGGUCCCCGUACAACUCAUGCAAGUAUUUUAUUAACAACAAUUUCUAUUCACAUUUAGACAUCACUUGUGAACAUAAAUUCCAUGGAGCUUAUGGAAAAUGAGGAAGGCUAUCAGUCCUCGUGCACACAAUGUGCUCAGGUGAAGAAGAAGCUGACCUGUUGUGGCUGAUUUCAACGGGGAAUUAGGAGACCUCAGCAUAUAAGUCGUCCAAACAAUACCUGACUCACCAUCAAAGUUACACAAAAGCUUGAUUCAUGAAUUAAAACACAUAGUGAAUCUGAUUGUAACGCUGAUCCUCUGUGUGUUCGUAAUUAAACAACCAGUUCCUUUUAUGAAUUGAAACAAAAUUCCUUCUGGGGCAUGGCUGAAGGUUGCAUCUUCCAGAGGCAAAAAGCAAAGUGCCCCUCAGUACCCACUGCCCCCGGUGUUGAGGCUGACCACAACUGAUCCUUUUGAAGCUGCCACAAGCCCAGAGGGAAUCACAGCCUGCAGGAGACACCCAAAACAAGGAACACAAACAGGUGAAACUUCAGAGGUCUGUGUCCCUGGCUUCCAGGCAAAGCAAUGUGGAAAGAUGGAUGAUCAGAACUGCACCCUGAAAGUAAUCUGCUCAUGGAAACUGUCCUGGAAUAUUGGAUUGGGCCAGUUCUGUCAUGGUCAUGCCCAUUUUGAGACUCUCAUGUUAAUGCCACAAGAACUUCAGUCUCCUGUAUAAUAUUUCAGACAUGGAGGGGGAAAAAAAAAAAGAAGAAAUAAAGAAAAGGAAAAACCAGCCGUCUGCA
This 970-nucleotide long non-coding RNA is filed under the name Parus major (Great Tit). RNAcentral's name for it is "lncRNA (ENSPMJG00000016780.1)". Lineage: Eukaryota; Metazoa; Chordata; Aves; Passeriformes; Paridae. The record is from RNAcentral.